ACACCAAUGGUGAAGCGGUUAUCAUGCUUGCCUUCCAUAUAAAGUUCCAUUGUGUGUUAGCAAGCGGCAGGGGUUCGACUCCCCUUUGGUGUA
Mycena floridula is the source of this 93-nucleotide non-coding RNA. The record is from the annotation of a GenBank genome assembly. Lineage: Eukaryota; Fungi; Basidiomycota; Agaricomycetes; Agaricales; Mycenaceae.